This 626-nucleotide ribosomal RNA is filed under the name Burkholderia sp. IBa257. RNAcentral describes it as "bacterial SSU rRNA". It matches the Rfam family "Bacterial small subunit ribosomal RNA", at positions 387 to 1005 of the family's 1533-position model. The record is from RNAcentral. Lineage: Bacteria; Pseudomonadati; Pseudomonadota; Betaproteobacteria; Burkholderiales; Burkholderiaceae.
UCCAGCAAUGCCGCGUGUGUGAAGAAGGCCUCUCGGGUUGUAAAGCACUUUUGUCCGGAAAGAAAUCCUUGGCUCUAAUACAGUCGGGGGAUGACGGUACCGGAAGAAUAAGCACCGGCUAACUACGUGCCAGCAGCCGCGGUAAUACGUAGGGUGCGAGCGUUAAUCGGAAUUACUGGGCGUAAAGCGUGCGCAGGCGGUUUGCUAAGACCGAUGUGAAAUCCCCGGGCUCAACCUGGGAACUGCAUUGGUGACUGGCAGGCUAGAGUAUGGCAGAGGGGGGUAGAAUUCCACGUGUAGCAGUGAAAUGCGUAGAGAUGUGGAGGAAUACCGAUGGCGAAGGCAGCCCCCUGGGCCAAUACUGACGCUCAUGCACGAAAGCGUGGGGAGCAAACAGGAUUAGAUACCCUGGUAGUCCACGCCCUAAACGAUGUCAACUAGUUGUUGGGGAUUCAUUUCCUUAGUAACGUAGCUAACGCGUGAAGUUGACCGCCUGGGGAGUACGGUCGCAAGAUUAAAACUCAAAGGAAUUGACGGGGACCCGCACAAGCGGUGGAUGAUGUGGAUUAAUUCGAUGCAACGCGAAAAACCUUACCUACCCUUGACAUGGUCGGAAUCCUGCUGAG